GAUGAACGCUGGCGGCGUGCCUAAUACAUGCAAGUCGAGCGAACAGACGAGGAGCUUGCUCCUUUGACGUUAGCGGCGGACGGGUGAGUAACACGUAGGUCACCUACCUAUAAGACUGGGAUAACUUCGGGAAACCGGAGCUAAUACCGGAUAAUAUUUCGAACCGCAUGGUUCGAUAGUGAAAGAUGGCUUUGCUAUCACUUAUAGAUGGACCUGCGCCGUAUUAGCUAGUUGGUAAGGUAACGGCUUACCAAGGCAACGAUACGUAGCCGACCUGAGAGGGUGAUCGCCCACACUGGAACUGAGACACGGUCCAGACUCCUACGAGAGGCAGCAGUAGGGAAUCUUCCGCAAUGGGCGAAAGCCUGACGGAGCAACGCCGCGUGAGUGAUGAAGGUCUUCGGAUCGUAAAACUCUGUUAUUAGGGAAGAACAAACGUGUAAGUAACUGUGCACGUCUUGACGGUACCUAAUCAGAAAGCCACGGCUAACUACGUG
Molecule: ribosomal RNA, 497 nt
Filed under: uncultured bacterium
Lineage: Bacteria
Description: partial 16S ribosomal RNA
Rfam family: Bacterial small subunit ribosomal RNA
Source: RNAcentral